RNAcentral lists this long non-coding RNA (1633 nucleotides) under Marmota monax (woodchuck). The record is from RNAcentral. Lineage: Eukaryota; Metazoa; Chordata; Mammalia; Rodentia; Sciuridae.
GAAGUGGGGUUUAUGUGCAGCCUGCAGUACCACUCUGAGGACACAAGAACUACCAAAUUAACAGCGCCGCUGGACUUUCUCAUAGUAAACUGUUUACCAUCCCUCCUAACAUCUGCAACAUGACAGUAUAUUCACAAAUGACUCUCAGACUAGAAGAUUCCAAAAAUACGUCUUAAAGUUUCAAGAAGAUGGAAUUACGAUCAGUACAGUUUCGAAGAUAAAUGUAAACAUCAUUCCAUGGAUUUGGAUUGUAUUGCAAAUGUUUCCUUCAAGUUCCCUUUGGUGCUUAAGAACACAGUUUUUUGAAGGAACAAUAGUACAAGCUGGGUUACUACACAAACCUGCAAGAAUGCAUUUUGUGCAUCACAAGUGUUAAACUUGAGGUAGCACGACUUCUUGCUACCCAACUGAUAUGUUGAUAUGUUGCCCUACCCCUGCCUCUUCAGUGAACACUGUAUGGUUGCUCCCAGUAGGUGGUGGUCUUCUCAUUUUCCUUUCCCAGUGACUGGUCUAGGGAUGGACAUGUGAUUGGGUCCUUGUUGGUGAGAUAUGAGAAAUGCAAGCCUUCACUCCUCUGAGAUGCAAUUGUCCCACCACCAUGUAUUGAAAAGACUAUUCUUUCUUUAUUGAGUUGUCUUGGCACCCUUGCUCAAAAUCAACUGGUCAUGGAUCAAUUUAUAGAGUUUGAAUUCUAUUCCAAGAACAUGCUGCCUGGCAGGUUGGCAGCUAUCUGCUACUCAGGAGGUGACAAGCCUGAGGAAAGACCAGAAUUCUGAGAAUAGUGGAGAGGAAGGACUGACUUGGCUGAAAUGCAAGAUGUGCUGCCUACCCUCCAUACUCCUUGGUAUACAGUAAACUAUAAACAUCCUAUGGUUUAAGACACCACUAAUUGUUACUUGCAGCUCAAUGUACAAUGACCAAAACAAAUACUUAGAGUUCUCCCAGUGGAAAUUCAUUCCAAGCUCUAGAUCAAAAUCCCUACAACAUUUUCAUUCAAUUCAAUAAGUUGUUGUUGUUGUUGUUGUUGUCCUUGUCAUUACUGUACUGGGAAUUGAACCCAGGCCUUGAAAUCUGCUAACAAGCUUUUGAUGUAUACGAACGAGCAAGACAAGCUACAAAACACAGCAGACCACAAAGAUGGCUCAGGUGGCCUUUGCCUUCUAGGUUAUUACCAUGGACAGAUAUGAAACUGAUCUUAAAAUUCAUAUGGAAAUGCAUAGAACCCAAAACCAUCAAAAUAAUCUUGAGGGCUUGGGUUGUGGCUCAGUGGUAGAGUGCUCGCCUAGCACAGGCGAGGCCCUGGGUUGGAUCCCCAACCACAUAAAAAUAAAGAUAUUGUGUCCAACUACAACUUAAUAAUAAAUUCUUUAAAAAAAAAACCCAGUCUUGAAUAUGGACAAAAUUAGAAGGACUUACACUUAUCCAAAUCAAACCUACUACAAAACUAGUAGCUGUGGUACUGGCAUAAAAAAGGACAUAGAGAUCGUGGAAUAGAAUUCAAACUCUAUAAAUUGAUUCAUGACCAGUUGAUUUUGAGCAAGGGUGCCAAGACAACUCAAUAAAGAAAGAAUAGUCUUUUCAAUACAUGGUAGUGGGACAAUUGGAUAUCCACAGGCAAAGAAUGAAGUUGUAC